This 304-nucleotide small RNA is filed under the name Microcebus murinus (gray mouse lemur). RNAcentral describes it as "Metazoan signal recognition particle RNA (ENSMICG00000031705.2)". The stretch from base 1 to 152 matches the Rfam family "Metazoan signal recognition particle RNA". From Rfam's summary of the family: The signal recognition particle (SRP) is a universally conserved ribonucleoprotein. It is involved in the co-translational targeting of proteins to membranes. Lineage: Eukaryota; Metazoa; Chordata; Mammalia; Primates; Cheirogaleidae. The record is from RNAcentral.
GCCGGGCAUGGUGGCGCAUGCCUGUAGUCCCAGAUACUCGGGAGGCUGAGGCAGCAGGAUUGCUUGAGCCCAGGAGUUUGAGGUUGCUAUGAGCUAGGAUGACGCCAUGGCACUCACUCUAGCCUGGGCAACAAAGCGAGACUCUGUCUCAAAAAAAAAAAAAAAAAAAUUACUGGUUGUUUACUAGUAUGUAUUUUUCCUUUUGAGACAGAGUCUUGGUUUGUUGCCCUGGCUAGAGUGCUGUGGCAUCAGCCUGGUUCACAGCAACCUCAAACUCCUGGGCUCAAGCAAUCCUUCUGCCUCA